Molecule: ribosomal RNA, 252 nt
Filed under: uncultured bacterium
Lineage: Bacteria
Description: partial 16S ribosomal RNA
Rfam family: Bacterial small subunit ribosomal RNA
Source: RNAcentral
UACGUAGGGUGCAAGCGUUAAUCGGAAUUACUGGGCGUAAAGCGUGUGCAGGCGGUUAUAUAAGACAGUUGUGAAAUCCCCGGGCUCAACCUGGGAACUGCAUCUGUGACUGUAUAGCUAGAGUACGGUAGAGGGGGAUGGAAUUCCGCGUGUAGCAGUGAAAUGCGUAGAUAUGCGGAGGAACACCGAUGGCGAAGGCAAUCCCCUGGACCUGUACUGACGCUCAUGCACGAAAGCGUGGGGAGCAACAGG